AUUGAACGCUGGCGGCAUGCCUUACACAUGCAAGUCGAACGGUAACGGGCCUUCGGGUGCCGACGAGUGGCGAACGGGUGAGUAAUGCAUCGGAACGUACCUUUCAGUGGGGGAUAACGUAGCGAAAGUUACGCUAAUACCGCAUAUUCUGUGAGCAGGAAAGCAGGGGAUCGCAAGACCUUGCGCUGAUUGAGCGGCCGAUGUCAGAUUAGCUAGUUGGUGAGGUAAAGGCUCACCAAGGCGACGAUCUGUAGCGGGUCUGAGAGGAUGAUCCGCCACACUGGAACUGAGACACGGUCCAGACUCCUACGGGAGGCAGCAGUGGGGAAUUUUUGGACAAAUGGGGGCAACCCUGAUCCAGCCAUGCCGCGUGAGUGAAGAAGGCCUGGUUGUAAGACGUCUUUCGGUCCGGGGAACGGAAAAGUACGACCGAUGGGUUAAGUAACCCUGUGCGGAGUGACGGUACCGGACGACUAAAGAA
This 481-nucleotide ribosomal RNA is filed under the name uncultured bacterium. RNAcentral's name for it is "bacterial SSU rRNA". It matches the Rfam family "Bacterial small subunit ribosomal RNA", at positions 30 to 493 of the family's 1533-position model. The record is from RNAcentral.